RNAcentral lists this ribosomal RNA (308 nucleotides) under uncultured bacterium. Its description in RNAcentral is "bacterial SSU rRNA". It matches the Rfam family "Bacterial small subunit ribosomal RNA", at positions 28 to 334 of the family's 1533-position model. The record is from RNAcentral.
GACGAACGCUGGCGGCGCGCCUAACACAUGCAAGUCGAACGAGCGAGAGAGAGCUUGCUUUCUCAAGCGAGUGGCGAACGGGUGAGUAACACGUGAGAAACCUGCCUUUCACAAAGGGAUAGCCUCGGGAAACCGGGAUUAAUACCUUAUGACACUUAGAUAUCGCAUGAUAAUUAAGUUAAAGAAUUUCGGUGAAAGAUGGUCUCGCGUCUGAUUAGCUAGUUGGUAAGGUAACGGCUUACCAAGGCGACGAUCAGUAGCCGGAUUGAGAGGUUGAACGGCCACACUGGAACUGAGACACGGUCCAG